AAGAAAUUUAAUUCUGUUUUAUAAAAUUAGCUUUUUAAUUAUUUGUACAUGUAAUAUUUUAUUAAAAAGUUGAGCUUUGCAGUAUUUAGUAUUAAAAUUUUAAUUUAGGUUAGAUUUAGUAAAUUAAUCGAACUCUAACUAAUUUUGUGCCAGCAGUUGCGGUUAUACAAUUAGGGUGGGUUAAUUUUUUUUGAGUUAUAUUUAAGUUUGUUUUUAAUUUUUAAAAUUAAAAUUUUUAGGUGGAAUUAAUUUUUUUAAUCAUUAAUUUUAUUUGAUUGAAUAUGAAGAUUUUUAUUAAAACUAGGAUUAGAUACCCUAUUAUUAUAAGUUGUUAAUUUUACUCUUAACACUAUUAGUUAUGUUCUUUAAAUUAAAAGAAUUUGGCGGUAAUUUAGUCUUUUCAGAGGAACCUGUCCUAUAAUUGAUAUUCCACGAUAAAUUUUACCUUUUUAUGCUUAUAUAUCUCUGUUAUUGGAUUUCUUAGUAGAGAUCUUCUAUAAUUUAUAGGUAAAUUUAAAUCAGGUCAAGGUGUAGUUAUAUAAAGGAAAGAGAUGGGUUACAAUAUAAUAUAUAUUUGAAUAUAAAUAUGGAAUAUUUUAUUGAAAUUGGAUUUGAUAGUAAUUUUUAUUAUAUUAUAAUUUUGAUUUUAGCUCUAAAUUAUGUACAUAUCGCCCGUCACUCUCGUUAUUAAAAUGAGAUAAGUCGUAACAAAGUAAAUCAACCGGAAGGUUGAUUUGGAAUGAA
Molecule: non-coding RNA, 744 nt
Filed under: Ischnobaenella hainana
Lineage: Eukaryota; Metazoa; Arthropoda; Insecta; Hemiptera; Reduviidae
Source: RNAcentral